UACGGAGGUGGCUAGCGUUGUUCGGAAUUACUGGGCGUAAAGCGCACGUAGGCGGCUUUUCGAGUCAGAGGUGAAAGCCCGGGGCUCAACUCCGGAAUUGCCUUUGAAACUGGAUGGCUAGAACACGGGAGAGGUGAGUGGAAUUCCGAGUGUAGAGGUGAAAUUCGUAGAUAUUCGGAGGAACACCAGUGGCGAAGGCGACUCACUGGACCGUUGUUGACGCUGAGGUGCGAAAGCGUGGGGAGCAAACAGG
This 253-nucleotide ribosomal RNA is filed under the name uncultured bacterium. Its description in RNAcentral is "partial 16S ribosomal RNA". It matches the Rfam family "Bacterial small subunit ribosomal RNA", at positions 524 to 776 of the family's 1533-position model. The record is from RNAcentral.